This 996-nucleotide long non-coding RNA is filed under the name Homo sapiens (human). Its description in RNAcentral is "HSALNT0367887". The record is from RNAcentral. Lineage: Eukaryota; Metazoa; Chordata; Mammalia; Primates; Hominidae.
CAACGCGGGUACCGUUGCACGCUGUGGAGGGUUUAGCUCUUUGCAAUAAAUCUUGCUGCUGCUCACUCUUUGGGUUGGCACUGCCUUUAUGAACUGUAACACUAACCACGAAGGUCUGCAGCUUCACUCCUGAAGCCAGCGAGACCACGAACUCACCAGGAGGGACGAACAAUUCCAGAUGGGAGGAACAAACAACUCCGGACACGCCACCUUUAUGAACUGUAACACUCACCGCGAAGGUCUGCAGCUUCACUCCUGAGGCCAGCAAGACCAUGAACCCACCGGGAGGAAGGAAUAACUCCAGACGCAUCGCCUUUAAGAGCUGUAACACUCACCACAAAGGGAUGCAGCUUCACUCCUGAUGUCAGCCACGAACCCACCAGAAGGAAGAAACUCCGGACCCAUCUGAACAUCUGAAGGAACAAACUCCGGACACACCAUCUUUAAGAACUGCAACACUCACUGCGAGGAUCCGCGGCUUCAUUCUUGAAGUAAGCGAGUCCAAGAACCCACCAAUUCUGGACACACUUCCACAUUUGUGACGUCUCUCCCCUCAUUCUGACUGGUAUCAAGCACAAGAAAUAAUUUCCCCCAACUCAGUUUCUCACUGGAAAAAAUGAGGUUGAGGUGGAUAACCAACUUCAUCAUCCUGGGUUCCAUGGCAAGAGACCCAUCCCUACCUUAGAGCCACAGGAAGCACUGUGAGUGCCUGAAAAGAGAAAUAUCCCUGAGAACAGUCAGAACCGGUGGGGAGGGAAGACUACCAUCCCCUGCCCUGGGAACUGCUUUGUAAAUCAGCCAAACAAGACACCAAAUCAGAGUGACUGUUCAGCAGCACCAUACUGCAGAAGGUUUGUUCCACAGGUCUCCUGGGGACGAACUUCUAGCCAACCUUCCUACACUGCCAGGAUAUCCCCUUAGGGACCUCUGCCACUCAGAAAGGGCAUGCUCUGAUCAUUUACUAGAGCUGAGGUGAACCUGGCGUAAAGACGCCAC